Molecule: long non-coding RNA, 7802 nt
Organism: Oncorhynchus nerka (sockeye salmon)
Lineage: Eukaryota; Metazoa; Chordata; Actinopteri; Salmoniformes; Salmonidae
Exons: 6
Source: RefSeq, a predicted model, not a curated record
GCCAGUGGGUCUGGUGACGAAUAUGUAGCGAGGGCCAGCCGACUAGAGCAUACAGGUCGCAGUGGUGGGUGGUAUAAGGUGCUUUAUUAACAAAACGGAUGGCACAGUGAUAAACUGCAUCCAGUUUGCUGAGUAGAGUAUUGGAAGCUAAUUUUGUAGAUGACAUCGCCGAAGUCGAGGAAUCGGUGGGAUAGUCAGUUUUACUAGGGUGUCAACACAAUGUGAUCAUCAGAUUCCAAACAAAGAUUACCUGUACUCUGUUGAAGUGUGCUGACAAGAAGGAAGAUUGAGCAGGAGCAAAGAUCCUAAUUUUCCAGAAUAUUUGGCCAUUGUGUACAAUGUACAGAACCACAACGUUUGUGGCAGACGCCCUCAGGCAUAGGGAUUUGGGGGCCAAAGCCAUAGAGACACUGACCCAACUCUUUGAAAUCGGGCACUCCCCCUCAUCUCCCUGACGGUCCUGAAGAACGACCUGCAGAUUUAGUACAGAGAGGACUACAUCUUCACCUCUGUCGAGACCUCCAGUUCUGUUACCGUAACUUUAUUAUGAUAAAACCAAGACAUGGGGAGGAGCUGCCACGCGGAGCUACCAACCCGAUGGAACAACUUUGUGGAGGCAGCAAUGCGGGUCCUUAUGGAUAAAAACCCUCUAGAGGAUGAAAGUGUUCAAUCUCCCUGCCUUAUUUGACCGGCCCGGAGGCCUAUUAUGAGGCACGGGUGACUGAUGUUGCCCUUGACGGCAGGGAAACAUUCCAUCUCUCUUGUUUUCUGGCCCAGGAAAGCAACAUCAGCCCAUCUGACAUUGAGCAGGUGGGGGAGAAGCAGUACAGGGUGAAGGACACCACACCAGGCCAGACCUAUACUGUGGACAUAGAGAUGGACCUCUGCACUUUUCCAGUAGGGCACACAGGAGCUCCAUGCAAGCACCAGGCUGCUGUGGUUCAGAUAUACAAAUGCCUGUCCAUCAACUUCCUCCCGGCAACACCGGAGAUGAGGGCUGAGAAGCUAAAGAUAACAUAAGUUAAAAUAGUGGCUAUUAAUUAUUGUUUAUGGUUAGAAAAUAAUUUCAAUGUGAAUAUUUUAUGUACCAAAGCAGAGUGCUGAGGUUGAUUAAAUAUCUCUUACAGCAACAAUACCUCUGGAUUUUCUGCAGCAAAUGAGACAGCCAAGUCAGCCAUUAGAUGACAUUCUGCCUGAUUCGCCUGACCUGGUGGAAGACAUGCCAAAGGAGUUCAGUUCCUUGACCAAGGAUGACUACUACAGUGACACCCUGGUAGCAAUGGCAAAGCAAUACAGAGCAAUGAAAGCAAAUCCAUCAAGGCUGCUGUCUGCAGUGCAUUGCUUCGGCAAAGCCCAUGUCAGCCCAGCAGCCAAGAAAGCAACUGCACUACAACAAGCAGCUAGAUGUCCCAACCCCAAGAUCCCCUGUCAGCCUACUGCAGUUGGCCUUAGAGCGAGCAAGGUUGGAUCGAAGAGUUGUCUGACUGCUGGACGUCCAAAACCCGGAACAGCGGUCCUGAGCACAUUUACUGCUUAGACAAAAAGAGGAAAAGGCCUGCCAUGUUUGGGCAUCACAAGUUGUCUGAGUCUGUGGCAAUGAAUUGUUCACGUGAGGAGUUAGUUCGUUUUUAUGUGGUUGCUUUAAGUUGUCUAUUUAUGGUGUUUGAUAUUCUGUUGUCAUAAAAUCCGUAAAGAGAGCAUACAUGGAUGCAUUGUCUUACUAGCCGCUGAAGAUAGGCAUACUAGUUCAUUAAAUAGCAUGCCGUCACCUAGCCCAUUUCCUAGAUCACAGUGGAACUCUGGUCUAGCUGUUUAACAUUUAGCCACCUUGCGAGUUAUUUCAAAUCAAAUUUUAUUUGUCACAUGCAGAGAAGACCUUACAGUGAAAUGCUUACUUACAAGCCCUUAAAACCUCUUUUGGAAAAAUAACAUUCCCAAAGUAAACUGGAUAUUUUGUCAGGACAAGAUGCUAGAAUAUGCAUAUAAUUGACAGCUUAGGAUAGAAAACACUCUAAAGUUUCCAAAACUGUAAAAAUAUUGUGAGUAUAACAGAACUGAUAUUGCAGGCGAAAGCCUGAGAAAAAUCCAAUCUGGAAGUGACUCAUGUUUUGAAAGCUCUGCGUUCCAAUGGGUCCCUAUUGAGCAGUGAAUGGGCUAUCAACCAGAUUACUUUUUCUACGUAUUCCCCAAGGUGUCUACAGCAUUGUGACGUUUUACGCCUUUAUGUUGAAGAAUACCCGUAAGCGGCUACAUUGUGUAAGUGGUCACCUGAUGGCUCUCGGAGUGAUUCUCACGUAAAAUACAGAGGUAGCCAUUUUUCCUUUCGCUCCUACUGAAAAACCAAUUGUCCCUGUGGAUAUAUUAUCAAAUAGAUAUUUGAAAAACACCUUGAGGAUUGAUUAUAAACAACAUUUGCCAUGUUUCUGUUGAUAUUAUGGAGCUAAUUUGGAAUAUUUUUCAGCGUUGUCGUGACUGCAAUUUCCGGUCGAUUUCUCAGCCAAAACGUGAAGAACAAACGGCGCUAUUUCGCCUACAAAAAUAAUAUUUUGGGAAAAAAGGAACAUUUGCUAUCUAACUGGGAGUCUCAUGAGUGAAAACAUCUGAAGCUCAUCAAAGGUAAACAAUUUAAUUUGAUUGCUUUUCUGAUUUUCGUGACCAAGUUACCUGCUGCUAGCUGGAUAAAAUGCUAUGCUAGGCUAUCGAUAAACUUACACAAAUGCUUGUCUUGCUUUGGCUGUAAAGCAUAUUUUGAAAAUCUGAGAUGACAGGGUGAUUAACAAAAGACUAAGAUGUGUUUCAAUAUAUUUCACUUGUGAUUUUCAUGAAUAGGAAUAUUUUCUUGUAAUAUUUAUGUGCGUUGCAUUAUGCUAAUUAGGGUCAGUUGAUUAUUACGCUCCCGGACCCGGGAUGGGGUGUUACAACAGGGGUGGGGUGUUACAACCAACAAUGCAGUUAAGAAAAAUACCACAAAAAAAUAAAUAAAAUUAACAAAUAAUUAAAGAGCAGCAGUAAAAUAACAAUAGCGAGCCAAUAUACAGGGGGUACCGGUACAGGGUCAAUGUGCGAACGCACCGACCGGUACCUGUUUGGUGAUGCUUUUCCCACGUCUGAGAGAAUAUCCAAGGUUUGUGGGCGGUUCUGAUAAGGAAUGCAUCGCUUGCGUUGCCCAAGAAAGAAUGAAAUCCAGUUGUUAGAUUCUACCACCACCCUCCAAAUCAACACCCAACAUUGAUGUCAAUGUUUGCGCAUGCACAUGCUUCAUUCUUCUUCCUGACGUGGUAAAAUCAUCGCCAAACAAGCAAACCAAACUACCAUUUCCAUAAACAAACAAAAAUACUCUUACAAUAUGAACAAUACAGUUCAUAAAUAAUACUUUUACACAACUCUACAUUAGAGUGCUUCAUACAUUAAGUCAUCUAUAGGUAUUUGCUGGAUAAAGCCCCGCCUUAUCUCAGCUCACUGGUCACCAUAACACCCACCCGUAGCAUGCGCACCAGCAGGUAUAUUGCACUGGUCAUCCCCAAAGCCAACACUUACCUUGGCCACCUUUCCUUCCAGUUUUCUGCUGCCAAUGACUGCAACGAAUUGGAAAAAUCUCUGAAGCUGGAGUCUUUUAUCUCCUUCUCUAACUUUAAGCAUUAGCUGUCAGAGCAGCUUACCGAUCACUACCUGUACACAGCCAAUCUGUAAAUAGUAUGCUAAAUUGUAAUUAUUUUUGCCUCUAUGGCCUAUUUAUUUCCUACCUCCCUACAUUUGCACACACUGUACAUAGAUAUUUCUAUUUUUGUUUUCUUUUGUAUUAUUGACUACGUGUGUUUGUGUAACUCUGUGUUGUUGUAUGUGUCGAACUGCUAUGCUUUAUCUUGGCCAGGUCGCAGUUGCAAAUGAGAACUUGUUCUCAACUAGCCUACCUGGUUAAAUAAAGGUGAAAUACAUUUUUAAAAAGAGAGAAAGAAUGGGCCCACACGCGUUUAUCGAAGGAAGAAUGAUUACUGGGUAACUCUGUUGAUAUGAACCAUACUGGAACUUUGAGUACUGCCAGGAGUACAUUUAAUGUACUGCCACGAGUUAAUGUACGGUGCAAACUACAAUUUAUGAACACUUGCCAACAAAAAAAAAGUGAAAAAGAGAUUUGUUAUACUGUUAACCACAGCUACCUCAGCUGAGCGUAGUUUUCCGUUGGAGUAACCCUCAAGGUUCACGGUUUUAUUUUCACAUUACUACUUCUGUUAUCUAGUUGUUUUUUUUAAAUGCAGGAGUUCGUUUUCAACUCACUCAAUAUCGUUAGUCUGAAUGCUAGGGGUUUGAGAUCUUACAGAAAGGAAAGCCUUAUUUUUAUUUUGUUAACGCAGAUUUUGUCCUUCGGGAAACUCAUUCUUGUGAUUUGAAAUUUUGGAAAUCACAAUGGGGAGACAUGGCCUAUUUCAGUCAUGUAUCAAACCAUUCUGCUGGUGCUUUCACAAGUUUAAAGGUAACAUUCUAGAAUCAACAUCUUCACAGGAUGGGAGAUGGGUCAUUGUAACUGUUAAACAAUCCCAAUGCUAUUUUGAUCAUUUGUAAUGUAUAUGGACAUAACUCACAUGCUCCAAAUAAGACCAAAAUUACAGGAUUUACGCUACAAAUACUCAAGAGGCUUUUCUAAUUAUUUCAGGGGAUUUGAAUGAAACACCUGAUGAAUCUGUUGGUCGUUUUCCUCCUAGAACGAGUUAAAGCCUUCAAAAUAGCAAUAUCAUCACUACGUUAUGCAAGGAUCUCUCUGUUGAUGAGGCCUGGCAUUAAUUUCAAUCCAGAUGCAAAGGGUUAUACCUGGACCAACAAAACUGUCACGUUUUGUUACAAUUUAUAGAUGUAGAUCAUCAGUUGGCUCCCUUUUCUGAUCAUCACUUGAUUUCCCUGAAUUUACAAGCUACUAAAAAAAUCUAAAGGUUCUCGAGGAUAUUUGAAAUUAAACAACACGCUUCUUGAAGAUCAUAUUCUCAUCGGAAACAUCAUCGUUAACCAAAUAUAUUUUUGCAAGAAAAGACUUGGGUCAUGGAAGUAGAUGGGAAUUUUUCAAAUAUAAAGUUGUAGCAAUUAAACGUGCCAAAGAGCUGAUGCACUUAAAUAACCUUAGAGAAAAAGAGUUGAGCAAGCCUGACAAUUUUCUAAAGAAAGAUAAUCAAUCUCAAGAAGAGUCUGUAUUUAAAUCUUUACAACUAGAAUUAGAACAGCUUUACAUGGCUCUGGCAAAGGGUGCCUUUGUCAGAUCAAGAGCAAAAUGGAUUGAAGAGGGGGAAAGAAACACUAGUUACUUUUUUGCACUUGAAAAGAGAAACUACAAAAGAAAAUCUAUUACUGCACUCAAAAUGAAUUUGUUAUUCAAAUAUCCCAUUACAAUAUCAACAUUUGUCAAUUCCUUUUAUGAAAACCUUGACAACUCACAAUGUCAGGAAGAUGGUUGUGAAAUCUACAGAAUUAUGUCCCUGUAAUUGAGGAUGAUUUCCACUCCGUUUGCGAUUCACCUGUGUCAAUUGAAGAAAUUAGAGAGGCUCUGAAGACAAUGAAAAAAGGGAAAUCACCUGGCCCUGAUGGCCUGUCAGUUGAAUUCUAUAGACAGUUUUGGGAGUUACUAGAAGGCAGUAUUUUUAAUGUUUCAAGAAUGCAUUGAAAAUGGUUUUCACUAUGAAACAGGGCCUUAUUUCAUUGAUUCUGAAGCCCGACAAAGACCCAUCUCUCAUUGACAAUUGGAGACCAAUUACUUUAUUAAAUAUUGAUUACAAAUUGAUUGCUCUGGUUUAUGCCAAAAUAUUAAAGAAAGGAAUAGAUACCAUUAUAAAUGAGACUCAAACAGGAUUUAUGAAGGGUCACACAAACUCUAACAUUUGUUUAGUCUUGAACCUUCUAGAUUGUUCAGAUGCAAUUGACUUGGAUGCGGUUGUCUUAUUUUUGGAUUUCUGUAAAGCCUUUGACACAAUUGAACAUGAAUUUCUAUUAGGUCACUUAAACUGUUUGGCUUCGGGGAAAAUUUUAUCAAAGUAAUUUGUACGUUUUACAAAGAUGUAAAUAGUUGUGUUAUUAAACCUUAAUACAUCCAAAAGAUUCAAUAUCAACAGAAGUGUACAACAGGGAUGCCAUUUUUAUUCAAUUUGGUUGUAGCACUUCUAUCUCUAGAUAUUCUGAAUAAUGCAAAUCUGGAUGGCUUAACCAUUUUUAACAAAGAAAUCAACAUUUCCCAACUGGCUGAUGAUACUACUUUUUUCUAAAGAGACAGACCAGGUUGUCCAUGCCCUUAAUGCUAUCACUGCAUUCUCUAUUGCAUCAGGAUUAAACUGAAUGUUUCUAAAUGUGAAAUCUUGUGUUUAUAUGAUUCUGAUGAUAAAGAAAUAGAAAAUAUUCCUGUAAAGGACUGUUACAUAUUUAGGAAUACAUCUGUCAAAGAAACACUUAGUCAGACAUGAAUCUAUCCUAAAAUUAAGAAAACAAAAAAUAUAUUUCAUAAUUGGCUACAAAGGUAUAUUUCUAUACUUGUGAGAGUACUUCUGUCCAAGGCAGAGGGACUGUCUCGCUUUGUGCACCCCUCAUUAUCUUUAUUUGUAAAUCCCUCUACUUGUAAAGAGAUCAACAAGACCUUUCUUGACUUCAUCUGGAAAAACAAGUGUCACAAACGAAAGUCAGUCUUCUAAUACAAGAGCUGAAGGUGGUCUGGAAGUGUUGGAAUUUGUUGACAUAACACUUUCAAGAUCAACUGGUUGAAAAGAUGCUUGAUCAAUACUGAUUCAAUAUGGUAUUUCAUUCCAAGGUCUUCAAUUUUUACUGAAGUGUAAUUAUAUUCCUGAAAGAUUACCUGCUAAAUUGGCUAGGUUUCACCAAUAAGCUUUAAUGGCCUGGAAAAUGUUUCCUGCACACUUUUUCCCCAAAUAAAGCUCUUUUGUGGAAUAUUUCAGACAUAACUGGAAGGAAAAAGUCAUUGUUCUACCCCAGCUGGCAUGAGAGGAAUAUUGACUUUGUUCUUGAUGUUUUUGACAACGGGUAAUAUUCUUACAUAUGAACAAUUUAUAACAUCGAAAGGUAUUGGGAACUCAUUCAGUUUAUUUCUGUGAUCAAAGCCAUUCCCAGUGGUCUACCUACACUAGUGAAAACUCAUCUUAGCUUUAGUAAUGAUCACAAAGCUUAUCCAAAACUCAGUUUGGAAGUUGUGGGCUUACUUGAGAAAUCUUGUAAUAAAUAUGACAAAUUUUCUGGAACAUGUCUGACUGGAAAAAAGCUUGGUUAAGGCCUUACAAAUAUUGUUCACCAAACAAAUUUAAGGAAGUGCACUUUAAAAUUCUACAUAAGAUAUAACUAUUUAAUUCUAUAAUGUCAACAUUUGUGGCUAUUGACGAUGUCUGCAUUUUAUGAAAAAGGUGAGAAUCUGACUCGCUUGUUCUUUGAGUGUAAAUUUGUCCUAAUUUUGGGAAAACCUUGCAGAAUACUUAUUUACCAUUAUGAACACUACCAAUGUUUUUGACAUUAUAUAAUGUUACUAUUGCAAUAACAAAACCAUUGAAAUGUUUGACUUUUUUCUUUCUUGUUGCCAAAUACUUUAUACAAACAAAAAUUCCAGAAUUCUAUACCAAAAUUACACUUAAUUUAAUUCAUAAGACAUUAUCCCUAGUGAAUAACAUCUUCCUGAAUCUUCCUGAAUCAUUGAGACAAUUGCACUAGAAUUGUUUUUUUUUAACCUUAUUUUCUUGUUAAUACUUGUCUUGUUAGACAUGUUUGAUGUAGCAAUGUAAGUUGAUUUUUGUGUUAUGAAUGAAAAAUAAAAUAAACAUUCGGCUUUA